RNAcentral lists this long non-coding RNA (331 nucleotides) under Carica papaya (papaya). RNAcentral describes it as "long non-coding RNA (CPAP_LNC011611)". Lineage: Eukaryota; Viridiplantae; Streptophyta; Magnoliopsida; Brassicales; Caricaceae. The record is from RNAcentral.
AGGUUGGAUCCGUGCAUGGGCUGGACGCUAGGCAUUCUCCUUGCUUGCAUGGCCUAAGCGUGCGCAGGCAUUGGGCAUGCGCCUAGUGCUUGCCGGGGUUGGGCGUGUGCUGGGCACUAGGCAUGUACUUAUGUUAAAUGCCUCAGGUGGACGUGGGGUGUCAAGUGCCUGGCCUGCUGUGCACUUGCACAUGCUGCACGCAUGUGCGCACUAUUUGUAUGUAUACUCACGCGUGGAGUGCUGUGUCACACAGCUGGUGGCCUUCCAUGUGUGGGUGAGCCUUUCCACACAUUUUAAAGGCAAAUCACAUGUGCCGCGCAUGAUGUCCACU